Mugil cephalus (flathead mullet) is the source of this 793-nucleotide long non-coding RNA. RefSeq lists it as uncharacterized. The transcript is spliced from 3 exons. NCBI's taxonomy places the organism in Eukaryota, Metazoa, Chordata, Actinopteri, Mugiliformes, Mugilidae. The record is from RefSeq and is a predicted model, not a curated record.
AACACCCUGCACCGUCAUCCCCUCCUACCCUCGCAAUCCCCCCUCUCCCCUGUCUGUCUCCCUGCAUUUACGGGAAUUCAGCUGGCUUCUUUGGCGCUCGGCUCUUAGCUGCCAGGAAAGCUCAAACAUGCACAUGUUUGUCUCGGAAACUGACAAAAACGACAUAACCUACACACGAAUGAUAAUUUCAUGGAGGUUAGGUGAUUGUUCAGUGUUGAUUGGAAAACAAGUUUAAGAAAAAUGCAGUGUCAUUUCCACAUGUGGCACCAAAUGCAUGCACUGACUCAGGAGAGGAGGACGCCGUCUCUGAGUCAGAGGACGAGGGGCAGCUUCCACGAGUGCAUCUCUGCUGAGGUGAAGAGGAAACAAGAGAGCAGCAGCAGCGGCCUCGCCACAAACCCUGACGCUCCCCGAUGCAUCAUCAACCCGAAACCUCUUCACCUAUACGAAGCGCUUUAAUGACCGGUAUAAAUAUCCAGUCACUGUGCCGCCUUCCUGUUUCGUGGGCCACAUGCAUGCUGAGAGAGUCAUCGCAUACUUUUGGAGGAAUCCAGCAAUUUAUGAAGCGUGUUGCAGGGUUUUAUUAACUAAAGUCUGCAAACUUCAGCAAAAGAAGCAGGCUCAAAUAAAAAAAAGGCACAGUGGAUCAGUGUGGCUCAUUAAGGAGCCAAAAUCCUGCUGAUGUGGUCAGCCGCACUGGAGCGAGGCCUUGUUAUGCAACUAUUUUCUACAUUUCAGGCCACAGGAAAACUUGUACUGGUUGGUUGAAAACCACUCAAACAAGUGAGUAGCU